RNAcentral lists this long non-coding RNA (3359 nucleotides) under Meleagris gallopavo (turkey). RNAcentral describes it as "lncRNA (ENSMGAG00000018326.1)". The record is from RNAcentral. Lineage: Eukaryota; Metazoa; Chordata; Aves; Galliformes; Phasianidae.
CUGUGGGAAUGGGGGGCUGCAACAGAAGGUGGGAAUUGUGGAAGCAUCAGCAGUGCUGAAAUAAACACAGCCACGCGUCACACGCGCUCACCACAAGCCGAUCACUUGCAGGACCAAGCUCAGCAUAAGCAAGCAGUGCUGCGUCGCUGCUCAGCAGAAGGCACACAGGCGUCCUCCUCAAGCACCGCACGGAUCCCAGCAGCAACACACACAGCUGCCCUGAUGCAGCGCGGGCAUUUGGCUGCUCCUCCUGUGCUGCCCACCAGCACUGCACACCUCCCGCGCCCUGACCUGUGCUCCUGCCCCACACUGCUGGCACACACCCAGACCGCGGGGACACUGCUGACCCUAAGAAGCCGGGCAGCUCCGUGCCGCUGGGGAAAAGGCACCGCUGUGCUGGACAGCUGAGCCUUCCAUGAGAUGACCAAUAAACCAGUCGUAUCAAUACUCAGCUCUAAUGCCCCAUUCUGUCAAUUCCGAAGUCUUCCCUACAAGUUAGAUGUAACUUCUACUUCUAUCAUUGUGUAGUUUAGUUGAAUUCAUUAUUGACAUAGGUGGCAGAGAGACUCAUAACAUAACAUGCUAUCCCACUAAUGUUACAAAAACAGAAUUCCACAAUCAGCUUCCACUCCAAACAAUAUAGGAAGAACUGAGUGUCUGACUGUGGUAGAAAUUCUCUCCUUGUUUGUGCAACUGAAAUCUCCUCUGUAAGCAUAGAGAAAAUUAAUUCAUGUUGCUGAUUUAAAUUGUCUCCACAGAUCAAGGUUUUAAGUUAGAGCUGUUCCUCGACAUCCACGUUCUGUCCAAAGCCUUUCAUAAUAGAGAAUUUGCUACUGGAACAGUAUCACUUGUUUUUCAUUUUAAUUUUAAAAGAAGAAACGGCUUUUUGCUAAGACAGCCCAGGAAAUGAAGAUUCCUGCCCCAGCAAAUUUGUUACUUAGGAGACAAGAGAUGGAGGCUUAGGAGCACAGUGGCUUCGUCUGUUCACACACAGAUGAGUACAUGAGAGCUAAACUUGCCUGGGACUCUCUGGCCAAUGAAGUGUGUCUCUGCUGGGAAGGGAUGCAUGACAGCCCCCUUACUGCUCUCUCUCCACUGACAACGAGCUUUCAAAAUGCCAUAAGGACAUAUAUUUAUUAACAGUUUCUUAAAGGCAGCAGAAACGAGUGAUACCUCCAAAAGAACCCCAUGUGACUCAGCAUAGUCGCCAUCAUCCUGCAUGGCGCGAUGGGCAACAUCAGAAGAUGCGGGGGCUGGGGGAAUCUUUGCUGUAGUGAUGACUCACAAAGCAACUCAGCAAAUAACAAUCUGAUUAUGAAAAGCAGUCUUCUGAACUGACUCACAGCCCAGGGCCUGAGGAUUUCACAGCAGGUAGUGGCCUCCUGUGGAAACCAGUUCCAUCUGUGAGCNNNNNNNNNNNNNNNNNNNNNNNNNNNNNNNNNNNNNNNNNNNNNNNNNNNNNNNNNNNNNNNNNNNNNNNNNNNNNNNNNNNNNNNNNNNNNNNNNNNNUAGCCGGCCCUGGCCCGCAAAGAGGCUCCGAAGGCGGCAGCCCCAAGGGCGAGGUGAGCGGCGGCGGCGGGGUCCGUGUGAGCGCAACUGCCGUCUCAGGGUCUGUAAGUGAGGGUGCAAAGCUCCGUGUGGAAAAGGCGAGGCUCUGAGCCAGCUGUCACCCACAGGACCUCCGUGUGGAGGCUGCCUCACAUGUUGGGGUGCCCAUCAGUGUGUUACCCCCUUGUGUAUUUCAUUUCCAGCCUCAAAUCUCUGCCCUUUGUAAGCUAGAUGUGUAAAAUACCGCUCUCUAAAGCUCCUCCUGGAGGAGAAGCAGCUGUUUCAUGUCCUCCCUGCAAUACACAUUCGUGAUGGUGGAAGUGACAGGAAUGCACUGGUGCUGUUCCCUCUGUGAAAUGGUUUUGUGUGAUGCCCGUAGCUAAAAGUAAUGAGAAUUUCAACCCCAAGCAGAAAUUAAUGAGCAAAGUGCAGUGGGAGAUUUGUCUGUGUCCCAGGUGUGUAAGAGCAGGUAAGAUGUCUGACAAGUUUAAAGUCGUUCUGAGCUCUUAAAAGUUCGCCUUCAGUUCUUCAGAAAGUUUCUUCUAGCUUCAUAACGUCAUACUUCUGGGAGUAAGCUGCCCAACAGGGUACUUUCGUACAUUGGAUCUGUGACACAGAGCUCUGAAAAUCAAUCUUGUAGUUGGAAAGUUUCUGUCACGUCUCAGUUCCAUGUCCUCUCCUUCCCAGAAAAUCUGUGGGAUGUCAUCCUGCUAAAGAUCUAGCAAGUGGGGUGAAAAAAGUGCUGAGCUUCCAGGAUUGUCAAAUCAUUCAUAAUGGGUAUACAGUAUUUGUGUUUUGAAAGGCGUUGGUUCAUGCUUUUAAGCACUGACUGUUCAGUUCAUAGAAUCGUUUGAGUUGGGAAGGACUCUUAAAGGCAUCAAAUCCAGCUCCCCUGCAAUGAACAGAGACACCUACAGCUAGAUCACAGUGCUCAGAUCCCCAUUCAGCCUGACCUUGAGUGUCUCCAGGGAUGGGGAAUUCACCACCUCUCUCGGCAACCUGUGCCAAUGCUUCACCACCUUUACAGUAAAAAUCUUCUUCUUCAUAUCCGAUGAAGAAUCUCUCAUCCAAUCUCUUCUCUUUUAGUUUGAAACAAUUUCCCCUUGUCCUGUCACAACAGACCCUGCUAAAGAGUCUGUCUCCUUCUUUCUUAUAGUCCCCCCACCCUUUAGAUACUGAAAAACACCAAGCCAGCCUCACAUAACAAUGCAUAAACAUGGCCUUUUAUGAAAUAUUUGAAACAUCCAUUAACAACAGAUUUCCCCACUGUCAGUUAAAUUUAGUAGUACUCUGUUGAACAGAAAUAACUCAAGAAUUAAUCACUCUUAGCUUAAAAACUGACAGCUAUUUUAAGCAGACGGCUUUUGGGGGGAAAAAAGCUGCACAAGUAUGUAUACUCAAAGGGACAAGUUAUGAACAUGCUCAUGUUAUGGUUAGGUUUAAAUUCAUUUUUUCGCUCACGCUUUUUGAACUGAGUUGUCAUGCUUCUGAACUUCAGAAUAUUUUGAGCCAGACAUAGCAAGGAUCCCUGGUUAUAUACAUACAUAUUUCAUUAAUGGCCAGGCAAGAUGUGGCUCUGGGCAACCUGGUCUAGUGGUUGGUGAUCCUGCACAUAGCAGGGAGUUGAAACUAGAUGGUCAUUGUGGUCCUUUUCAAUCCAGGAUGUUUUAUGAUUCUGUGAUAUGAUUCUAUGAUUAUAUGGUUGUCACUUCAUAGAAUCAUAGAAUCAUGGAAUCAUAGAAUCACUCAGGUUGGAAAAGACCUUAAAGAUCAUCGGGUCCAAACACAACCUAACCACACUACCCUAACUC